Molecule: ribosomal RNA, 407 nt
Filed under: uncultured bacterium
Lineage: Bacteria
Description: partial 16S ribosomal RNA
Rfam family: Bacterial small subunit ribosomal RNA
Source: RNAcentral
GACGAACGCUGGCGGCGUGCCUAAUACAUGCAAGUAGGACGCAGUUGCGAACGGGUGAGUAACGCGUAGGUAACUGCCUAUUAGAGGGGGAUAACUAUUGGAAACGAUAGCUAAUACCGCAUACUUGUAGAUGGACCUGCGUUGUAUUAGCUAGUAGGUAGGGUAAUGGCCUCCCUAGGCAACGAUACAUAGCCCACUGGGGAGGGGAAUCGGAUAGAUUGGGACUCAGACCCGGACCAGACUCCUACGGGAAGCAGCAAGAGGGCAGCUGUGGAAAAUGGAGGAACCCUGACCGAGCGACUCAGGAUGAGGGGAGGAGGUUUUCGGAUCGUAAAGCUCUGUUGUUACGGUAGCGAUACUUAGGCAGAAAGGGACGGCUAACUACGUGCCAGCAGCCGCGGUAAUAC